AUAUUUUGAAUAAAGUAAUUAUACACAUUGUCUUAGUGAAAUAAAUUUUAUUUUUAUUAAACACUUUAGUACCUCAAAAGAAAUAAAUAAAAAGUUAAAGAUUAAUAAAAAUGCUACGAUCUAAGAAUAAGUUUGGUAUUUACAAUUACUUAAAAAGCUUGGUAUUUACAAUUAUAUAAUCGUGCUAAAGUUUGCUAGCUUUUUUAUAUUCUACAAUUAAAAGAUCUAAUUGGAAACGAAAAAUAUAAUACAUAAACGUGCAAAAGCAUAGAAGAAACUCAAAAUACUCAUGAAAAUACAUAAAAGAUCCAACAAUUAUUCACCAACCCAAGAUCAAAAGUAAUAAAAUCAUCAUAAAGGUGAUAAAUAUAUUUAUCUUUUUAUCAACUUCACAUAUAAACAACAUCAACAUAGAUGUGAAACCUAGCGAAUUAAAGAUAGAAAACGAAUAACCAAAUAGUACUAAAACAUUGAUGUUUUCAUAAACCCGGUUCCAUUAUUCUAAAACCAUAACCUGCACAAUAUGAAUAACAGGUUCACAAAAAAGAUUAUUGGAACAAACAUAUCUAUUUUGUAGACUCAUUUCUUCCAUCGGUAUGAUAGUAACAAAUAAAAUUUAUACAUACAUAUACAAUCCAAAUGAUCAAAAUCCCAACAAGUUUAUACAUAAACACAUAUAUAUUAACACCUCAACAGUUCAACACAUUGAUUCAUACAUAGACAGAUUUAGAUAUGCAUAUAAACACUGAUAUAUAGAGGUUCGUACCCCCAUCAACAAAUAGAUACAUGAAAAAACUAUUAGAGAAAGAAGGCGGAGAGAUAGUAAUGAGCAACAGAAGACGGAGACGCUGCCAAGAAGGGUAAAGAACGGCCGACAAAAUAUUUACAUUCUUUGGGUUUUUUAUUUUUCUGGUUUGAUGACUUGCAUGCCAGAUUUGGAUCUAGUUCAACCAUAUAUGUUACGUUAAUGAAUAGAUCCAAAAAAAAGGUCACAUGGGAGACGCGACAAUAUGCUUUUCUUUAAUGUUUAUGGAACUUUCUGAUUAUUCCGGUGGGGAGAGAUAUAGAAAGGAUAAUAGCUUGGUUUACUGGAGAUGAGGGUCGGUUCAGUGAUGGUGGUGAUGGUGGCGACGACAAGGAAGAUGUUUGAUGUUCUAGGGUUUUCUAGAGGGAUUGAGAGAAGGGGGAAGAUAGAAAUAAAAUGAUCUAUUCCCUUACGUGAGUUCUUAAUGGGUGUUUUAGUGGAUGAUUGAUUGAGUUUUGUUAUUUUAUAGCUACAAAAUAUGGGUAUUUUAAACCUUUUAUUUUUGAUUGGUUGAUUUUUAUUCACUUGGAUUACCAUCUUAUACCAUUGAAAUUUAAUCUAAGGCUAAAAUUUAACCUCCUUGUUGUAACAUCCGGUUUCCCAGGUAUUAUAUUUUUGUUCUUUUAUUUUUGGGUGUUGAGGGGAGACUCGGCGAGUUGGCGUCUAGACUCGCCGAGUAUGGUCGCGGAUUCGUAUGCGAGUUCACAGCUGGACUCGGCGAGUCCACGUUGUUUAAUGAAACCCUAAUUUCUAGGGUUUGAGACCUAUUUAAAGGGUCUUAGGGCCGUCAUUUGCGGCCACCAACCCCCAAAGAGAAACCCUAAGAGAUCUAGAGCAUUUGUGAGGAAGGAGAGGCCAUUCUUGAACCUUUUGUGGGUGUUUUUGCAAGAAGGAAGUGUUUAAGGAAAGAGGAGGCUGAAGGAGGUGCGAUUUUGGUGGUUUUUGAGCUCAUAGAGAUUGUAUUGAGGCGGAGGCUAGAUCACAUUUCUACCGAGUGAGAUACUUACCGAGACAUCGAGACUGGACCGGAGGGUCCAACGAGCUAUGACCGGACCAAAAGGUCCAACGAGCUACGGGACUGGAGGGUCCUACUGAGACACAUCGACUGGAAGGUACUAGUGAUGAGCGCGGGAAGGCGCCGACAUGAUUCGUACACACUUAUGGAGUUUAUGUUUGAGAUUCUUGGGAGAUGUUUUAUGAUGAUAACAAUUGAUACAAUAUGUUUUGACAAUAUUUUAUGAGUAUGUGUAUGUUUUAAAAAUGAAAA
Molecule: non-coding RNA, 2072 nt
Organism: Lactuca sativa (garden lettuce)
Lineage: Eukaryota; Viridiplantae; Streptophyta; Magnoliopsida; Asterales; Asteraceae
Source: RefSeq, a predicted model, not a curated record